RNAcentral lists this ribosomal RNA (392 nucleotides) under uncultured bacterium. RNAcentral describes it as "bacterial SSU rRNA". It matches the Rfam family "Bacterial small subunit ribosomal RNA", at positions 505 to 898 of the family's 1533-position model. The record is from RNAcentral.
GUGUCAGCCGCCGCGGUAAGACGUAGGGGGCGAGCGUUGCCCGGAAUCACUGGGUGUAAAGGGGACGUAGGCGGAUGAUCAAGUCAUCUGUGAAAAGAUUGCUCAACGAUUGGCUUGCGGAUGAAACUGGUCAUCUUGGGCGUAGCAGAGGUAGACGGAAUUACCUGAGUAGGGGUGAAAUCCGCAGAUACAGGUAAGAACGCCGGUGAAGAAGUUGGUCUACUGGGCUACAGCUGACGCUGAGGUCCGAAAGCCAGGGGAGCGAACCGGAUUAGAUACCCGGGUAGUCCUGGCUGUAAACGAUGCUCACUAGGUGUAGGGAGCGAAAGACUCUCUGUGCUGAAGCGAACGCGCUAAGUGAGCCACCUGGGGAGUACGUCCGCAAGGAUGAA